RNAcentral lists this long non-coding RNA (614 nucleotides) under Pongo abelii (Sumatran orangutan). Its description in RNAcentral is "lincRNA". The record is from RNAcentral. Lineage: Eukaryota; Metazoa; Chordata; Mammalia; Primates; Hominidae.
CCUCAGCCUCCCAAAGCGCUAGGAUUACAGGCGUGAGUCACUGCGCCUGGCCCAAGUCUGGAAUUUUCAACAGGACAUGGGUGUCACUGUGCCCACGUGACAUUUGGGGAACCCAAGGCCCUGAGAAAGGCAGAAAAAUAACCCACGCAGGGGCUCUCAGCCCACAAAUGAAGCUGAGAACCGGGAAUGGAAAACAGGGAGGCAGUACAGAGGCAGGAAACUCAGGUGUCACAGCUUGGCUCAGCUUGGAAUGCACUCCCUCCACCUCCACCCAGAGCUCCCCACAACUGACCCUGCUUUCUUCUGCAAGCUCCAUUUCAUCAAGGGAAACGAUCCUUAUUGCCUCACCAUUUCCCACAUGAAGUCUGUAUUGACAUUCUCAUAGACCUGGGAUAUUGUGUCUGCAGCACAUAGUCCAAUUAUUUUCAUGUUAUCUACUGACAGCUCUAUUUGUCUCCCUGUUACACUGUGAGCUCCGUGAGGGCAGAAACAAUGUUUGUAUUUUCACUGCUGUGUCCCCAGUGCCUGGUCCGGGGCCCGGCACACAGCAGGCAUAUAAUAAGCAUGUGUUGAAUCAAUAAAGGCAUCAAAGAAUAAACCAAUACAUCAAUCAA